GCUUACUUAUCCAUCUUUUUUACUAUGCUCAUUUUGAGUUGGGGGUAAGGAGAGUCCUCCACCUUUUAGUCUCUAAUGAUUAAUUUCUCUGCAAAGUUGUUGAAAAAAAAAGAAAAAAGUUGUUAUUUUCAAACCUCUCUACUUAAGAUUAGAUAGUUGUAGUCUUGGGUUACACUAAUUCCUACUGGUUUAGGUUUAAGUUCAACACAUGACCAUAUGAAAGUCUUAGCAACUCAAAGUUAGGCAAUGUAUUUCAAAGCUAUUGAUUGAUGACCCUAAUAGACACAAGUAGAUGUUUUUGUUGUUUUGUUUGAUAUCAAUAAGUGGUUUUCAUCCAAGCAGCUAACAAGAAUUUCAAUGAACUAUAUCUUAAUGGCCUA
Long non-coding RNA from Juglans microcarpa x Juglans regia, 380 nucleotides. RefSeq lists it as uncharacterized. The transcript is spliced from 2 exons. The record is from RefSeq and is a predicted model, not a curated record. NCBI's taxonomy places the organism in Eukaryota, Viridiplantae, Streptophyta, Magnoliopsida, Fagales, Juglandaceae.